AUCCAUUCUGGCCUUUGGCUUAGAUCAAGUGUAGUACCUGUUCUUACCAGUGUACUAAUUGCUGGUAUUGGUUCAUCGGACCAACCAAUCAUUACUCUCAUCUUUGACCUGCCCCCCGUCAUACCCUGCCUCGCCAGCGUGGCAGGGACGAUGGCCUUGGGCUCCCACUGCUCCCUUGUGCUGUCAGGCAUU
This 192-nucleotide small nuclear RNA is filed under the name Puccinia triticina 1-1 BBBD Race 1. Its description in RNAcentral is "U2 spliceosomal RNA". It matches the Rfam family "U2 spliceosomal RNA". Rfam says of the family: U2 is a small nuclear RNA (snRNA) component of the spliceosome (involved in pre-mRNA splicing). Complementary binding between U2 snRNA (in an area lying towards the 5' end but 3' to hairpin I) and the branchpoint sequence (BPS) of the intron results the bulging out of an unpaired adenosine, on the BPS, which initiates a nucleophilic attack at the intronic 5' splice site, thus starting the first of two transesterification reactions that mediate splicing. Lineage: Eukaryota; Fungi; Basidiomycota; Pucciniomycetes; Pucciniales; Pucciniaceae. The record is from Rfam by way of RNAcentral.